GAUGAACGCUGGCGGCGUGCCUAAUACAUGCAAGUCGAGCGAACAGAUAAGGAGCUUGCUCCUUUGAAGUUAGCGGCGGACGGGUGAGUAACACGUGGGUAACCUACCUAUAAGACUGGGAUAACUUCGGGAAACCGGAGCUAAUACCGGAUAACAUUUAGAACCGCAUGGUUCUAAAGUGAAAGAUGGUUUUGCUAUCACUUAUAGAUGGACCCGCGCCGUAUUAGCUAGUUGGUAAGGUAACGGCUUACCAAGGCGACGAUACGUAGCCGACCUGAGAGGGUGAUCGGCCACACUGGAACUGAGACACGGUCCAGACUCCUACGGGAGGCAGCAGUAGGGAAUCUUCCGCAAUGGGCGAAAGCCUGACGGAGCAACGCCGCGUGAGUGAUGAAGGGUUUCGGCUCGUAAAACUCUGUUAUUAGGGAAGAACAAAUGUGUAAGUAACUGUGCACAUCUUGACGGUACCUAAUCAGAAAGCCACGGCUAACUACGUG
Molecule: ribosomal RNA, 497 nt
Filed under: uncultured bacterium
Lineage: Bacteria
Description: partial 16S ribosomal RNA
Rfam family: Bacterial small subunit ribosomal RNA
Source: RNAcentral